Molecule: ribosomal RNA, 408 nt
Filed under: uncultured bacterium
Lineage: Bacteria
Description: partial 16S ribosomal RNA
Rfam family: Bacterial small subunit ribosomal RNA
Source: RNAcentral
GACGAACGCUGGCGGCGUGCUUAACACAUGCAAGUCGAACGAAGUGGCGAACGGGUGAGUAACGCGUAAUCAACCUGCCCUUCAGAGGGGGACAACAGUUGGAAACGACUGCUAAUACCGCAUACUGAAGGAGGGGAUUGCGUCUGAUUAGCUAGUUGGAGGGGUAACGGCCUACCAAGGCGACGAUCCGUAACUGGUCUGAGAGGAUGAUCAGUCACACUGGAACUGAGACACGGUCCAGACUCCUACGGGAGGCAGCAGUGGGGAAUAUUGGACAAUGGGCGAAAGCCUGAUCCAGCCAUGCCGCGUGUGUGAAGAAGGUCUUCGGGUUGUAAAGCUCUGUUAAUCGGGACGCGGUACCGGAAUAGAAAGCCACGGCUAACUACGUGCCAGCCGCCGCGGUAAUAC